UACGUAGGGUGCAAGCGUUAAUCGGAAUUACUGGGCGUAAAGCGUGCGCAGGCGGUUUUGUAAGUCUGACGUGAAAGCCCCGGGCUCAACCUGGGAAUUGCGUUGGAGACUGCAAGGCUUGAAUCUGGCAGAGGGGGGUAGAAUUCCACGUGUAGCAGUGAAAUGCGUAGAGAUGUGGAGGAACACCGAUGGCGAAGGCACGCCCCGUGGUCAAGAUUGACGCUCAUGCAACGAAA
Molecule: ribosomal RNA, 236 nt
Filed under: uncultured bacterium
Lineage: Bacteria
Description: partial 16S ribosomal RNA
Rfam family: Bacterial small subunit ribosomal RNA
Source: RNAcentral